AACCCUGUGGUGUAAUGGCAGCACAACUGGUUUUGGUCCAGUUAGUCCAGGUUCGAGUCCCGGCAGGGUUGCCA
This 74-nucleotide transfer RNA is filed under the name Lentisphaeria bacterium. RNAcentral's name for it is "tRNA-Gln". It matches the Rfam family "tRNA". Rfam says of the family: Transfer RNA (tRNA) molecules are approximately 80 nucleotides in length. RNAcentral also lists the same sequence under 1 other name. The record is from RNAcentral. Lineage: Bacteria; Pseudomonadati; Lentisphaerota; Lentisphaeria.